This 1360-nucleotide ribosomal RNA is filed under the name uncultured bacterium. RNAcentral's name for it is "bacterial SSU rRNA". It matches the Rfam family "Bacterial small subunit ribosomal RNA", at positions 28 to 1380 of the family's 1533-position model. The record is from RNAcentral.
GAUGAACGCUAGCUACAGGCUUAACACAUGCAAGUCGAGGGGCAGCAUGGUCUUAGCUUGCUAAGGCCGAUGGCGACCGGCGCACGGGUGAGUAACACGUAUCCAACCUGCCGUCUACUCUUGGACAGCCUUCUGAAAGGAAGAUUAAUACAAGAUGGCAUCAUGAGUCCGCAUGUUCACAUGAUUAAAGGUAUUCCGGUAGACGAUGGGGAUGCGUUCCAUUAGAUAGUAGGCGGGGUAACGGCCCACCUAGUCUUCGAUGGAUAGGGGUUCUGAGAGGAAGGUCCCCCACAUUGGAACUGAGACACGGUCCAAACUCCUACGGGAGGCAGCAGUGAGGAAUAUUGGUCAAUGGGCGAGAGCCUGAACCAGCCAAGUAGCGUGAAGGAUGACUGCCCUAUGGGUUGUAAACUUCUUUUAUAAAGGAAUAAAGUCGGGUAUGGAUACCCGUUUGCAUGUACUUUAUGAAUAAGGAUCGGCUAACUCCGUGCCAGCAGCCGCGGUAAUACGGAGGAUCCGAGCGUUAUCCGGAUUUAUUGGGUUUAAAGGGAGCGUAGAUGGAUGUUUAAGUCAGUUGUGAAAGUUUGCGGCUCAACCGUAAAAUUGCAGUUGAUACUGGAUAUCUUGAGUGCAGUUGAGGCAGGCGGAAUUCGUGGUGUAGCGGUGAAAUGCUUAGAUAUCACGAAGAACUCCGAUUGCGAAGGCAGCCUGCUAAGCUGCAACUGACAUUGAGGCUCGAAAGUGUGGGUAUCAAACAGGAUUAGAUACCCUGGUAGUCCACACGGUAAACGAUGAAUACUCGCUGUUUGCGAUAUACUGCAAGCGGCCAAGCGAAAGCGUUAAGUAUUCCACCUGGGGAGUACGCCGGCAACGGUGAAACUCAAAGGAAUUGACGGGGGCCCGCACAAGCGGAGGAACAUGUGGUUUAAUUCGAUGAUACGCGAGGAACCUUACCCGGGCUUAAAUUGCAGAUGAAUUACGGUGAAAGCCGUAAGCCGCAAGGCAUCUGUGAAGGUGCUGCAUGGUUGUCGUCAGCUCGUGCCGUGAGGUGUCGGCUUAAGUGCCAUAACGAGCGCAACCCUUGUUGUCAGUUACUAACAGGUUCCGCUGAGGACUCUGACAAGACUGCCAUCGUAAGAUGUGAGGAAGGUGGGGAUGACGUCAAAUCAGCGCGGCCCUUACGUCCAGGGCUACACACGUGUUACAAUGGGGGGUACAGAGGACCGCUACCACGCGAGUGGAUGCCAAUCCCCAAAACCUCUCUCAGUUCGGACUGGAGUCUGCAACCCGACUCCACGAAAGCUGGAUUCGCUAGUAAUCGCGCUUCAGCCACGGCGCGGUGAAAUACGUUUCCCGGGCC